Molecule: long non-coding RNA, 1305 nt
Filed under: Olea europaea (common olive)
Lineage: Eukaryota; Viridiplantae; Streptophyta; Magnoliopsida; Lamiales; Oleaceae
Description: long non-coding RNA (OEUR_LNC004300)
Source: RNAcentral
CCUUCACAAACUAAUACAAUCAACAGCAUACGGGAUCUAAAUAUUGCAAAGAAAAAGGGGGCACCCCGGAGACUUCAGAGAAAAAGUCCGUUGGAGUCAAAGAAAUUAGGGGUUUGUUCAUCUUUUCACGUCUCUAUUCUUCAACAGCCAUGAAUUUGUACUGUGAUUUCAUUUUAUUGUACACGCAACCAAGUUCAAUGGUAAGCAAAGGAAAUUGAUUGAGACCAAGGCACAGUAAUAAUGAAGAGGCUGCACCUGAAUUUGUAGCUUCGCAAUAACAAUAUUCGAUGCGAACAUCAUUCUCUUAUUCACAACUAUUGUUGGUGAGUACCAUCAUAUUAUUAAACUAUUUGUUUUAGGUGUUAUUCACAUUCUUUUUUUAUGUAGGGUGAUGCCGAAAGCUUUGCGUGUACACGACCCUUGCCAACAUCGGAUGCGAUCCCACCAUUGCCAACGAGUGUUAUAUUCAAUCCACAAGGUGAUGGUGAGGUUAAUUCAUUACAUUUCUAUAUGAUCUCUUCAAAUACGUGUACUAAUAUUUGUACUGUUUGACAGGUCAUACGUUUCCUUACUACAAUACGCAUAUGCCACAGCAAGGUUGUUCAACCUCAUUUAUAGUGUUUUAUUGAGAUAUUUAUGCCUCUAGUUUUGUAUUUUGUAUCUUUCUACUAUGUGGAAUUUGACACGCUGCUUUUUUCAUGUCGUUGUCUCAUGUAGGAUCAAAUUGGUUAUGUUUCUGGAGUUACUUUGUGCAUGUAGCAUACAUGAUAGUUGUGCAUUCUUCUGGCACGAUGCUUGCUAUGUUUAUAAAUUAUUUGAGCUGUUAUCUGAAUUCGAGGAACCUAUCGGCUGCUAUAUUUUAGCAUCAUCCCCAAAUUUAUACGGUAGAUAAUGCCCUAGUCAAAUGAUUGCUUGUUAGGAAUUUUGAAUUUGAAUUGUAAAGUACUAGAAUGGUUUCUCUAGCUCUCUAGAAAUGUGUCGACUUCUUCAUCCCCAUCUUUCUUUUCAUCGUAGUAAUUUUUUUUUUUUUUUUUGGGUGCAUGUGUGUGUUGUGAGUGGAUGGGUUUUAAUCUAAAGUCCAAUCCAUUUGAUCUAGUUUUAGAGUUGUUUUAAUCUUUGUUGCUAUGUGGCAGAAUUUAAUCCAUUUUUCGUUUUCAUUCCAGCAUUAAAUGAAGCAUUAACAGGGGAGAUACGACAUUUGAAGAUUGCAACUGCUGAAUUGGGUGGCCAUACAAUUGAGAAGAAUCUGUAGCUUUCAAUAACUUUGAGCACUUCAUCUCCUUUACUUGUAGUUUUGUACAGUUU